GCGGUACUGACAGGGAGGGAGGAAGUGUAAGGGUCAGUUUAAGAGGCACUACCCAUGGACGACACCCUUCCUGGACCAGUGUGUGCGUGCGUGCGUGUGUAUGUGUGUGUCGGCGUCAUUACUACCCCAAGGUGAAAGUGAGGAUUAAGAGCCACUCAAACCUCCCUUUUGAAGUACUUGUAUUUGGCUCGCAAGGAUGCUUCAAAAUCGAGUCCUUGUCUGUUCAUCGCUUCAUUGGAUCCAGUUCAUUGUUGGCUGUGGUGGGUGUCGGACCUGGGGCGGUGAUGUGCGUCUGUACUCGGCAGUUUAGUUGCAAUCACAAGCCCUAACAAAGAGUGGUAACAAAAAAAAAAAGAUCUACAGGCAGUCGUACUGAUUUGUGAGGCCAGGGAUGUCCUACCCAGUGUCGGGCCUAAGACAGUAACUUUGUAAUGACCUCGUUCAGCAAUAGUUUGAAGUGACGAGCCUUCUUAUGAGAGUGAGGUUGGGGGUCGGGGACGUGGAUCGUAGCCCGGCAAUCAUGAGUCAUCAUUCCUCUGAAAGCCACUCAAGGGAAGAGUGCCACCUAUAUCAACAUGUGCCCAAGGGUGAAGGACCAAGAUGUGCAGCGUGGGAGAGCUUCAUAGGGGAGUGUCAUGGGCUGCCAGAAAAACUGCUGAACACUGACUGGGGUGAGUGCAGAGCAUCAUGACAAAGGCAGCAGCCUACCAGGCGGUGGUGGAGGUGCAUGUGGUGCCACACCAGAUUAAACGUGCCUCGCUGCUGACCAUGGCCUCGGGGGAGCAUCACAAGAGCUGCUGCUGCUGGGGAGGCGAGUUUAUCAGCAGCGGCUCCUCCUCGUAGUUCUCCGUCUUCAUGUCGUUGAGGCCGAGGUCUUCGUUCUGCUGGUGGGAGCGCUCGUACUCCUCAACGGCCAUCAAGGAGCUUCUCCACCACAGCCUUGCGGUCGUCCUUGGAGGAGUCGCCCAUCAGGAAGGGGUUGGUCUCCAGGUCUUCCUUGAUGUUGGUCAGCAGGCCCUCCAGCGUGGUGAACCUGCACAGACAACAACACUCACUAGUCCGCCACACCUGCCACAACCACCCGCACCACGUAGCUCAUGGCCUGGAGAUCCGCCCCCUUCCUCACCCCAGCCUUUGCUAGAGUUGUCACUGAUUGACCAAUUGUUUUUCUUAAUAUCCAUGAUAGAAAAAUAUUUAGUGCAUGAAAUCACCCCAUAUCUAUAUUUAAUACCUUGAAAACAGUUAGAUGACAACAAAAAAUUGAAACUUUAAUCAUAUUAGCAUAAUUCUACAAAAACUCCCUCAGCCUGCGACACCCGAGCAGCACUGCCCGGGCCACAACCGAGUGGCGGCCACAAGCCACAGCCAGGGAUGUGCUGAGCAAGUGUAGCAUGCUGUGGAACGACUAUCUUGCUGGGAAUUUUUUCCUAUGAAUAUCCUAAUGUAAAGUGGUAAAGCAAUUUUGUCAUUUAAAAAUAUUUCAGAUAUGAAUCCAUAAGCUAUAUAAAUAUGGAGUAAUUUCAACCCUUGCGUAUUUUUUGCCAUAUCAAAUACAUCAGCCAGUCAGCUGUGACUCCAUGGAGGAGGCACAGCUUGGAGUGAGGAAGGUGACUGACUGCAACUAAAACAACUGUCAAGUCUGCUCUGCUGCAACCUACUGGAAAUGUAUUCACUAUAUAACUGGACAAAUAAAUAAACCUUGCCGUCCUC
Molecule: long non-coding RNA, 1710 nt
Organism: Eriocheir sinensis (Chinese mitten crab)
Lineage: Eukaryota; Metazoa; Arthropoda; Malacostraca; Decapoda; Varunidae
Exons: 8
Source: RefSeq, a predicted model, not a curated record